This 466-nucleotide ribosomal RNA is filed under the name uncultured bacterium. RNAcentral's name for it is "partial 16S ribosomal RNA". It matches the Rfam family "Bacterial small subunit ribosomal RNA", at positions 30 to 507 of the family's 1533-position model. The record is from RNAcentral.
CGAACGCUGGCGGCGUGCUUAACACAUGCAAGUCGACCGGAAAGGCCCUGCUUUUGUGGGGUGCUCGAGUGGCGAACGGGUGAGUAACACGUGAGUAACCUGCCCUUGACUUUGGGAUAACUUCAGGAAACUGGGGCUAAUACCGGAUAGGAGCUCCUGCUGCAUGGUGGGGGUUGGAAAGUUUCGGCGGUUGGGGAUGGACUCGCGGCUUAUCAGCUUGUUGGUGGGGUAGUGGCUUACCAAGGCUUUGACGGGUAGCCGGCCUGAGAGGGUGACCGGCCACAUUGGGACUGAGAUACGGCCCAGACUCCUACGGGAGGCAGCAGUGGGGAAUAUUGCACAAUGGGCGGAAGCCUGAUGCAGCAACGCCGCGUGCGGGAUGACGGCCUUCGGGUUGUAAACCGCUUUCGCCUGUGACGAAGCGUGAGUGACGGUAAUGGGUAAAGAAGCACCGGCUAACUACGUG